This 763-nucleotide ribosomal RNA is filed under the name uncultured Streptococcus sp. Its description in RNAcentral is "bacterial SSU rRNA". It matches the Rfam family "Bacterial small subunit ribosomal RNA", at positions 28 to 776 of the family's 1533-position model. The record is from RNAcentral. Lineage: Bacteria; Bacillati; Bacillota; Bacilli; Lactobacillales; Streptococcaceae.
GACGAACGCUGGCGGCGUGCCUAAUACAUGCAAGUAGAACGCUGAAGGGAGAGCUUGCUCUUCUGGAUGAGUUGCGAACGGGUGAGUAACGCGUAGGUAACCUGCCUGGUAGCGGGGGAUAACUAUUGGAAACGAUAGCUAAUACCGCAUAAUAGUAGAUGUUGCAUGACAUUUGCUUAAAAGGUGCAAUUGCAUCACUACCAGAUGGACCUGCGUUGUAUUAGCUAGUUGGUGGGGUAACGGCUCACCAAGGCGACGAUACAUAGCCGACCUGAGAGGGUGAUCGGCCACACUGGGACUGAGACACGGCCCAGACUCCUACGGGAGGCAGCAGUAGGGAAUCUUCGGCAAUGGACGGAAGUCUGACCGAGCAACGCCGCGUGAGUGAAGAAGGUUUUCGGAUCGUAAAGCUCUGUUGUAAGAGAAGAACGAGUGUGAGAGUGGAAAGUUCACACUGUGACGGUAUCUUACCAGAAAGGGACGGCUAACUACGUGCCAGCAGCCGCGGUAAUACGUAGGUCCCGAGCGUUGUCCGGAUUUAUUGGGCGUAAAGCGAGCGCAGGCGGUUAGAUAAGUCUGAAGUUAAAGGCUGUGGCUUAACCAUAGUACGCUUUGGAAACUGUUUAACUUGAGUGCAAGAGGGGAGAGUGGAAUUCCAUGUGUAGCGGUGAAAUGCGUAGAUAUAUGGAGGAACACCGGUGGCGAAAGCGGCUCUCUGGCUUGUAACUGACGCUGAGGCUCGAAAGCGUGGGGAGCAAACAGG